Molecule: ribosomal RNA, 486 nt
Filed under: uncultured bacterium
Lineage: Bacteria
Description: partial 16S ribosomal RNA
Source: RNAcentral
GUAGUUAGCCGGGGCUUCCUCCUUGGCUACCGUCACUUUCUUCGUCACCAAGGACAGAGGUUUACAAUCCGAAGACCUUCUUCCCUCACGCGGCGUUGCUGGGUCAGGCUUUCGCCCAUUGCCCAAUAUUCCCCACUGCUGCCUCCCGUAGGAGUCUGGACCGUGUCUCAGUUCCAGUGUGGCCGAUCAGCCUCUCAGCUCGGCUACCCAUCGUUGGCUAGGUGGGCCGUUACCCCGCUACUACCUAAUGGGACGCGAACCCCUCCUUCUGCGGAUUGCUCCUUUGACCCCUGAGCCAUGCGACUCUGUGGUCUUAUGCGGUAUUAGCGCCAGUUUCCCAGCGUUAUCCCCCACCCAAGACACGUUCCUACGCGUUACUCACCCGUUCGCCACUCGAGCACCCCACAAAAGCAGGGCCUUUCCGUUCGACUUGCAUGUGUUAAGCACGCCGCCAGCGUUCGUCCUGAGCCACGGAUCAAACUCUGA